Long non-coding RNA from Bolinopsis microptera, 778 nucleotides. RefSeq lists it as uncharacterized. The transcript is spliced from 3 exons. The record is from RefSeq and is a predicted model, not a curated record. NCBI's taxonomy places the organism in Eukaryota, Metazoa, Ctenophora, Tentaculata, Lobata, Bolinopsidae.
GCUUAUUUCUGAUAUUCUAACGGUGAACGCUUUUAAUACACUCCAGUUCUUGGAUUUUCGAGGGGUGCCAAAAUGGAGAAUAAUACUUAGUUACUAAGUUUGAAAUUAGCAACCACGUUACUGAUUAGUAUCCAAGUCUGAAACUGGUUACUGCGGUAAACUGGCUUACUAAAAUAGGACUGAUUAUGUAACUAUCAGGUUACUUGAUUGCUAACUAACCGCUAUCUCAGUUGCUUCUGUGGGUGUCUAAGUAACCAGGUAACUAAGUAACCAGGUAACUAAGUAACCAGGUAACUAAGGUUACUUGAUUGCUAACUAGCCGCUAUCUCAGUUGCCUCUGUGGGUGUCGGUGUUGGACUCUGUAUCUCUGUGAAGGAGGACGCUGAGUGGUAUUUCAACGAAGCGCUCGGAAGGUCACUGUCUAGAGUUCUCCGAGAAGACUUCCAACUGAAUAUCGACAUGUUGAGUAUCAACCUGAAGUCAGCUGAGCUGGUCACCAUGCAGAUCGGAGUUAGCGCUAUCUUCGUCAUCGCUGCCUGCUUCCUCAUGCUCGUCGCCACUGUACUUGCAGAACUGAGCAGGAACCUAAACUGAUAACUUCACUUCCGGGCUCAACACAAAGGGAAAUAUUCAGACUCAGCUAUCAUGGUUACCAUGGUUACUCCUACUCCCAGCAAUAUACAAAACUGUACAUUAAAGCCUAUGUAUAUUGUAUAAACGUAAUCAAAUAUUUACAAUUUGCAAAAUGGACUACGAAAUGCUAAGAAAAUACGCACAC